RNAcentral lists this ribosomal RNA (433 nucleotides) under uncultured bacterium. RNAcentral describes it as "partial 16S ribosomal RNA". It matches the Rfam family "Bacterial small subunit ribosomal RNA", at positions 29 to 507 of the family's 1533-position model. The record is from RNAcentral.
AGCGAACGCUGGCGGCAGGCUUAACACAUGCAAGUCGAGCGGGCACUUCGGUGUCAGCGGCAGACGGGUGAGUAACACGUGGGAACGUACCCUUCGGUUCGGAAUAACGCUGGGAAACUAGCGCUAAUACCGGAUACGCCCUUUUGGGGAAAGGUUUACUGCCGAAGGAUCGGCCCGCGUCUGAUUAGCUAGUUGGUGGGGUAAUGGCCUACCAAGGCGACGAUCAGUAGCUGGUCUGAGAGGAUGAUCAGCCACACUGGGACUGAGACACGGCCCAGACUCCUACGGGAGGCAGCAGUGGGGAAUAUUGGACAAUGGGCGCAAGCCUGAUCCAGCCAUGCCGCAUGAGUGAUGAAGGCCUUAGGGUUGUAAAGCUCUUUUGUCCGGGACGAUAAUGACGGUACCGGAAGAAUAAGCCCCGGCUAACUUCGUG